Hypomesus transpacificus is the source of this 1821-nucleotide long non-coding RNA. RefSeq lists it as uncharacterized. NCBI's taxonomy places the organism in Eukaryota, Metazoa, Chordata, Actinopteri, Osmeriformes, Osmeridae. The record is from RefSeq and is a predicted model, not a curated record. The transcript has 4 exons.
CUUUUUCUUACUUGUUCCUCAAGAGAAACAGUCUGACAUUGGCUGGAGGUGGUGCAUGUACGGAGUGUGGGGAUCAGCUCAACCAUGUCGAGGAGAAAAAGUCAGACCAACUCAAAACAAACACUGUUACCAUGAUUGCCGGUUUACAUCUUAUGAAACCUACAUUGCGUGUGAUGGGACCGGGUAAAAUGGCUUCGAAACUCAAACCCGGAGAUGGAGAUAACAGCCCCAGGUGUGCUGUGGUUCUAACACCCAGACCCAACAGGAGGAGGAAAGUGCUGAUGUAGGCUGAUAAUCUACCACAUGCUGCAGCUAUGUUGUGGGUGUGCCCUUCCAUCAGUGUUGGAGCUGUGUCUGGACAUCAGAGUUACAGACGUAAUGUGAAGAACUAGACAGAAACAUCUAGAACACAGGAACCAGGGGAACCAGAGGACCCAGAAGGAAUCAGGUGUUUCAGGCACCUGGCAGGGUGGAUGGCACUGAGGAGCCUUCAGCUGCGACACGACACCUCUGAUGUGCAUGUGAUGGGCACAUGUACUCUGGCAGUUCACCUGGCGGCGUGCACAGAGCGCUGUGCAUGUGUAGGUAAGUUCAUGUGUCCUUUCAAAGGAAACGACUUCCGAGUAUCUGUCUGUGAAGGGGAAGUAAACAAGCAGCUUCUGGCACCCCACAGUAGUUAGUGAAGGUGGUCAGAUAUCAAAAGAUGAUAUCUGUAUGAAAGGUUUGGUGUCAGAGGUGUGUACAAGUUUCAUUGGUUAACCUAGAGUCAAUUGCUAGCUAGCUAAGCAGCUGUUUCAGGAGUUUUUUUUAUUUGGGAGACUACAGCUUGAGCCCAAAGAUGUUGCCCAGGAGCUCCCUAGAGACUAGGGAUAACAGCAGACAGGAGGAGAUCCAUUUUAAUCUACUGAAAGCUAGACACUUCUCUAUCGUGUCAUUAGAAUAUCAAUGAGGAGACAGAACAUUCCAGUUCUAUAAUCUAGAUGGGAAGAAGGAUAGCAGACUGUAAAAAUGAAAGCUUGACUCAAGUUUUUCAUGGCUCUGAUUCAACUGGGUCUUGCAGUGUAAACCAUGUCUACACUAAUGCUAUGUUAAAAAGCUCUCUUGAGACACUCGCAAAACAGUUCACCAUAUUAGUACAGCAAAGAAAUAAGUGAUCCAAAACCAAAAUGAGACAUUUCAUCGCAGGAUAAUGUGUGUGUGUCUCUGAACACAUACUGUACAGUAUCCUGCCCAAAACACACAUUCCAUGAUGUCAGUGGCAGUGUGUGUGGAUAUUGUGUAUUGUGUAUAAGUGUGUGUAUUUUGCUGGUACAGUAAUAAUAGUCCCCCUGUCAGGUUGGGCUAGUAGGGCCACUCCUCUCACCCACAGGGGGCUGUGGCAGACGCCAAGCCCCACAGAACAGCUUCCAACUGGGGUACGACCAGACCAGCACUGCCCCCCCAGGAUACACCCACCACUGAACAACUGCUUCUCAUACACUUCAAGUAUUUAAAGACCCAACAGUACAACAGACACAAUCAUACCUGGAGAUAUCGCACAGGAAGAAUCUCAUGUUCUUGUCUUCAUUCACAGGGGCUGAAAAAGACAGAUUUCUAAUUCAAGUCUCUUACAGUUUGUUUCAGGAGGUGAGAUAGAUGACUUGAGAUGGAACUAACUCCAUGGUGAGUGCCAGUGAUGGCAGGGCAUGGAUGAUGGACAGAUCGCCAGCCUGGCAGGCCAGGGUUCAACGGGGCUAACCAGAGUAGCGCCUCAGUGGUGGUCAUACAGAGGCCAGACAGCCCCCCCUGUUGGUCUCUCUCUCCUAGUGACAUCACUAGUGC